Molecule: ribosomal RNA, 672 nt
Filed under: Triticum aestivum (bread wheat)
Lineage: Eukaryota; Viridiplantae; Streptophyta; Magnoliopsida; Poales; Poaceae
Description: partial small subunit ribosomal RNA
Source: RNAcentral
AUGGAUGGGGAGUUGCCGGAAUACGACAGUGAUGUGCAAAAUAUGUUGGACCUCUUCAUCACAAGCGAGCAGGGCCACCUACUCCAGCACGAGAAAGGUGAUGAGAUGCAUGGCCUACUGGGAGCCACUACCAACAUGGGCAACACUGACGAUGCCAACGCUGCUGCUGCAGACGAAGGCAACAAUAACGAUGGAGAGACCAAUAGUGUGCAGAGAAUGAUGACAAGGCAUGCAAAUUAUAACCGUCUCCGUGGAGAACAAAUCCAACAACUUGAAGCAUACAAUACAUACUCAAUCAAUGAAAGCCCUUAUCCAGAUGCGAAACUCCGGAAAGACCUUAGCGAGAGGCUUGGCAUGAGUGCCUUGCAGGUCAAGUUUUGGUUCCAAAACAAACGCUCCUCCAGCAAGGGCAAGAGGCAACUACAGGACACCAAGAAUCUUCAGGGAGAUAACCAAAUGCUAAAACAUGAAAACCAAGCCAUCAAGUGGGUCGUUGAACACAAGACAUGCCUCAAAUGCGCAGGGGUGAUGCUAAAAACUCAGGAUACCUCGGAGCACCAACGCCUGUGUACAGAGAAUAUGAGGCUCAAGGAAGAACUCCGCCGUGCCACCGCCUAUCUUAAAGACGGUCUCUACCGUAAUGGCAUGUGGCACCAAUUUACCCGUGACUAA